Molecule: ribosomal RNA, 839 nt
Filed under: Cenangium acuum
Lineage: Eukaryota; Fungi; Ascomycota; Leotiomycetes; Helotiales; Cenangiaceae
Description: eukaryotic LSU rRNA
Rfam family: Eukaryotic large subunit ribosomal RNA
Source: RNAcentral
CGGCGAGUGAAGCGGCACAAGCUCAAAUUUGAAAUCUGGCUCUUUCAGGGUCCGAGUUGUAAUUUGUAGAAGAUGCUUCGGGUGUGGCCCCGGUCUAAGUUCCUUGGAACAGGACGUCAUAGAGGGUGAGAAUCCCGUAUGUGACUGGGUGCCUACGCUCAUGUGAAGCUCUUUCGACGAGUCGAGUUGUUUGGGAAUGCAGCUCAAAAUGGGUGGUAAAUUUCAUCUAAAGCUAAAUAUUGGCCAGAGACCGAUAGCGCACAAGUAGAGUGAUCGAAAGAUGAAAAGCACUUUGGAAAGAGAGUUAAACAGUACGUGAAAUUGUUGAAAGGGAAGCGCUUGCAAUCAGACUUGCGCCUGGGUGAUCAUCCGGGGUUCUCCCCGGUGCACUCGCUCAGGCUCAGGCCAGCAUCGGUUUGGGUGGUUGGAUAAAGGCCUAGGGAACGUGGCCCCUCUCGGGGGGUGUUAUAGCCCUAGGUGCCAUGCAGCCUACCUGGACCGAGGACCGCGCUUCGGCUAGGAUGCUGGCGUAAUGGUUGUAAGCGACCCGUCUUGAAACACGGACCAAGGAGUCUAACAUCUAUGCGAGUGUUUGGGUGUCAAACCCAUACGCGUAAUGAAAGUGAACGGAGGUGAGAACCCUUUAGGGUGCAUCAUCGACCGAUCCUGAUGUCUUCGGAUGGAUUUGAGUAAGAGCAUAGCUGUUGGGACCCGAAAGAUGGUGAACUAUGCGUGAAUAGGGUGAAGCCAGAGGAAACUCUGGUGGAGGCUCGCAGCGGUUCUGACGUGCAAAUCGAUCGUCAAAUUUGCGUAUAGGGGCGAAAGACUAAUCGAACCAU